AGCCACAAGCCGAGCAGCCUAGCAGCAUGUGCUAUUUCUAGUUGAGCAUCAUUUCAAAUUGAGCACCGCCUCACAUCGAACAUCAGUUUAAGACAACAUCUAGUUACUUCGGCCCACACAUGGACUGAAUUUCAAAUCUCCAGCCAAAAGACUCUCUUAACUGAAAACUUGGGGGACUACUGUUUAUACCAUAUUUAGGGCCUCGUAUUUAGAUCUCGUACAAAUACUCGAGGGACUUAAAUAUAAUUAUGUGAUAAAGGAAGGGGUAAAUAUAUAAUAAGUGAGGAGUCCUUAUUCUAUAAAAUGACCCCUCACCCUCACAAUUAGAGGAGGCCACUUCUGGAGCCUUCUUACCCCUCUCACAUCUCCUCUCAUUACAGAGGUUCUCUCCCUCACCUCUCAGAUAAAUACAAUACAAUCAGUGUGGACGUAGCCCAAACCUUGAGGUGAACCACGAUACAUCUUGUGUUAUUUACAUUUCUUGCAGAUUCACAGUCGGAUUUACAUUGUUCCAAGACCUCCGGUUUUGUACAUUAAUAGUAGUCAUUCAAUAAAUUUAUCUUUAUUUAACUUCAUCACAAAUAGCUAUGCCAUAUACAUUUUGAAUUUUACAUAUAGUGGAUGGUUCACAUUUAGGAUUGUCAAUAUGAGCUACAACUGCAUGAAAGGAUUUAUAAGGUUUUGGUGGAAUAAGUGAAGAUUCAUCUGGGUAAUUGAUGACUAGUAACUUGAAAUGAUCUUCAAAUUAUACACAUCAAAGAUAUUAUUAACUAUAGACAGUACUUUUCUUAGUAUAUUGGCAAUGUGUUUGUUGGCUAGGAAGUUGUGUCAUAUGUGAUAUAGCUAUUAAUCUUCCCUGUUAGGUAUUUUGUUACAGGUUCUUUGCUCUCUAGUAUGCUGCAGGUGCAACAUGAUUGUGAUUGUGCAAGUGCUAUUGCUAGAUGGUUGUGAUUAUGCAGGGGCAAGAUGCAAGAUUUGUUGUGAUGUUACGUGGCAGCCAAUUUUGACGAAUGACAGUAGGAUAAUUUUAUUAUGUGAUAUGCUUUUGUAUAAGUACUCUAGAUGUACGUUCCAAACCUAUCAAAUAAAGUAUUAUUUUUUACAACUUUUGUGUAUUGUAUUUUGAUGUGCAUAUGUAGUAGCUAAGCAUAAAAGCAUUUAUUUUAUUUUUUUAUAAAUUAAUUGUCUUCAUGAUGAAAUUAAUUUUGUUGGGAGAUAGAAGACUUUGCUGACAAAAUAUCCAUGGCUACAAACACAUUUUGUUGGUUGAAAAGUAUUAUUUGUUGGCUUAAAUAGCCUCUAUCGAUGAAAAUAUUUGUCGGGGAAGAUGUAAAUGCCGACAAAAAGGAGUUUGUUGGGAAAAGUUGAACCUUAGUCGACGAAAUACCAAAAUGCGUCGGCAAAGUGCUUGCACGACAAAAUGGCCGACGAAAUUUUUUGUCGGAAAAGACUCUUUGCCGACAAAUUUUAACUUUUGACGACAAACUAAUUUUGUCGGUAAAGCCAAAAUUUCUAGUAGUGAGCUGAUAUGAAUACAAAGGUCGGCCAUGUUGGUGAAUAAACACUAGAUGUGUCUAAUGGCUAAAGCAAAUACAUGAGGACAUGACACUUAGGAAGGGAUAGUGCUGGACAUAAUUUGUAGGCAGGAGGUGUCUAAAUGCAUGCAAAUAAGAUGAGGGAACAAUUGACACGCACUUAAAUGGAUUAUUACAUACUAAAUUACUAAUAGUGAGACCAAAUUAAGCUAUAUAGGUGUCAUGCAAAGGCUAAGUGUGACAAGGAAUGAGCAAUAGUUAUGGCGGAUGGAUAACCGCGGUUAUUUACGCAUAACCGUUUAUGCUUAUACCCGCAUAACCGUUUACCCGUUUACCCGUUACGGUUAUACACAUACCCAUAACCGUUUAUAAACGGUUAACCAUAUUCAUAACCACAUACCCAUUUAACCGUAACCGUUUACCCAUUUAUCCAUUGAACCAUUUUUUUACCCAUUUGCCCCUUCUUCUUUUUUACCGUUUACCAAUUUAUUAGUUGGUAAAGUUAAUUUGAAGGGAUUGUUAAGGGACCAUAGUGUAUAUAUAUAUUAAACCUUAUUCAUAGACUCUUAAAAUUCUAUUCGCUAGCUGAAUUCAAUUCAACCUAAAUGGCUCCAUAGUUUCCCAAAAGUGUCUAAUAACUGGGCUCUGAUACCAUUUUGUCACACCCGGGACUUGAGGUUGGUAGAAAAAUAAAUCAUGCACCCGGUGCGUGAGUAAAAAUAAAAAUAAAUACGAAAACUAAGCUUCUCUUAUAAAAAAAUCAAAUAUUUUAUAGGGUGUACACAAAAAUAAAGAAAACUCUUAAAUCUCUCGUCUAACACAAACUCAGCCAUCUAUCACCUGUCUUGCCAAAAAACUCAUCUGUAAAAUAAAAGGUGAGGGGUGAGCAACAAUCAACGUUGCUCAGUGAGUAGAAUAUGUAAUAUGUUAGUCAAUCGAUGUUGUUUUACCCACACUAUAAAAUAUGAUAUCAAAUCAUUAUACACAUGGUGCCAUAUCACAUUGUCCCUUCACGUGUUCAUUAUAGAGCCUUCUUAAACCAAGCAAAGUAAGUGGCCUAAAUGUGGGGCUAGGCCAUGUUGCCAACAUUUUGCGUGGUCACUUUUCUCCAAGUCGCGUCUGUUGGAGCAUCCUCAGUGAGGGCUUUACAUGAGGCUAGAAAAGUGGUGGAUAUAGCCAAUUUUAGAGCUUUGAGGUAUCUUUGGGGCUCUAUAAAUGAAUCCCCCCCCCCCCAAUGAGAGGCCAUUUACUUUCGGGCUCUAUACGGGGCUAUUUAUAUUUAAUUAUGUAGUAAUUUGAUUAUGUGACAAUUUUUUUUUUUUGUAUUAACCUUUCUUAAGUGGAUUUUUGGACGUGUUAUCUCAAAAAGAAUUUGGGAACAUUUCAACCUUGAAAAAGCCAAAUUCUGGCAAAGUUAGAUUUCAUCACUUGUGAACCGUUAGAUUAGUUUUUCAUAUUUCAAUCUUAUUCGUUAGUUUGUUUCUCUAAAAUCAGACAAGAUAAGAUUUCAUCUAAUGACUAAAUUGUAAUGCCUUUCAAUUUAGGUAUGUUGUUUGUUUAUGUUUUCGGUUUAGGUCUCUAAACUUCCAAUGUCAUUUUAAUAUGCAAUGCGUUUUUAUUUGGAAAUUAAGAAAAGUAAGCCCUUUUAGACGUAGAACAUCUUAUAUCAUUUUAUAUCUCAAGCAUUAAACAUACAAACAAAAUGGAGGAGGACCUUUGGAACAAAAGAGAGUAUGAGUAUAUUUGCAAAGGGGGGCGUGGAAAAAUUUGGCUCAUAUGGGUAGCUACUUUUCUUAUGGGACCCAUUGCUUUUUGGUGCUGGAUGUAGCCUAAUUUUUGCUACUUGGGGAAUGAAGUUGCUAGCCCGGACCUAGCUCCAUUUUCCAGCUCACUUCAUGGAGGAUAAAACCCCCAUGAGGAUGCUCUGAGGCUUGCGCCGUCACUUAUAUGCAACGCCCAGUUGCCACUUAGUAUUAUAGUCUAGUGAUAUUUUUCUUUACUUAUAAAUGAGAAUUCUUAGGUUCAAUCCUCGCCAAAUAAGAAUUUGAACCACAUCAUUACUAACUCAUUGUGAGGCUUAACUUACCUUUUUCUCUUAGACCAUCUCCAACCCUUGAGGAUAAAGCUUAAAAAUUUAAGCCAGAAAAUUCUAAAGUCAAAACCCAGAAACU
This 3706-nucleotide long non-coding RNA is filed under the name Malus domestica (apple). RNAcentral describes it as "long non-coding RNA (MDOM_LNC013180)". Lineage: Eukaryota; Viridiplantae; Streptophyta; Magnoliopsida; Rosales; Rosaceae. The record is from RNAcentral.